Molecule: ribosomal RNA, 227 nt
Filed under: uncultured bacterium
Lineage: Bacteria
Description: partial 16S ribosomal RNA
Rfam family: Bacterial small subunit ribosomal RNA
Source: RNAcentral
UACGUAGGGUGCGAGCGUUGUCCGGAAUUAUUGGGCGUAAAGAGCUCGUAGGCGGUUUGUCGCGUCUGCUGUGAAAAUCCGGGGCUCAACCCCGGACUUGCAGUGGGUACGGGCAGACUAGAGUGUGGUAGGGGAGACUGGAAUUCCUGGUGUAGCGGUGAAAUGCGCAGAUAUCAGGAGGAACACCGAUGGCGAAGGCAGGUCUCUGGGCCACUACUGACGCUGAG